GGCAGGACCAGAGCCCCCCCCCCGAGCCCGCUCCCCCGCUUCACGCCUGCAAACGCCUGCAGCGAGCGCUGCACGGACUUGUGCCGCAGCAGCGCCCUUUGGCACGCACGUGGCUCUCCCUGGGGAGCGUGCUGCGCAAAAUUAAGUGCAGUGCUUAAUGAACUUACGGAGAGCGUUUAUCAGGGCAGCGGUUCGGGCAGGACAGCUUCGUGGCUUUAAAACCACGUGGGCUUAAAACUGUGCGGGGCGCUGCGGAGGAGCGAGCUGCAAGGGGAGGCAAAUAAAAUGCUCCUUCGUUUUCAGGCGGAGGGGGGUGGUAGCUCUAAUUAGCACUAAUAGGACUAAUGGCUGGGGCCUGUGCAUGCUGUAUCGGGUGCAGAUGUUUGUCCUCCUCACCGCGUCCUGGCCCUGCUCUGUGCUGCUGCGGUGAAGUCCAGGCAGGCGCCGGCUGGGAUUCUGGUCACAGACACGAGCUGGCGGCGUGUAUCUGCUGUGAAUUUAUUUCAAACUCAAGUUAAAGUGCUCUCGGUGCUUUGGAUGCAAAUUUUCCUUCCUUGAAAUGGGAACUGCAGGCCGCGCGCUGAGUGCUGAUCAAAGGCGCUAGCUAGAGCCCACGUCCAGGAGUACCUGUUGAGAGGAUAAGACUUCGGCGCACCUCCGAGAUGAAACCACGAGGCAACAGAAGUGCUGGGGCUGAGUUGGUGGAGGCGCUUCCACGGGCUGCGGGAUUCCUGCGGGUCCGUGUGGCUCUCGUCUGCUCCAGCAGGGGGUGUAGGCACAGAAACAAGUCGGGGCUGACGUGUUGGAGCACAUCGCCCGCUUCCCAGGAACCACACGCUCGCCUUCGGCUCCCCAGCGUGGUUUGUGUCGUUCCCAGUGCCAGCAGACUGCACCCAAACGGCACCGGACUUGCCUGGGCCGUGCUCUCGCUGAUGCCUCCCAACUUAUUCGCCUGCUGGAAGCUGCUGCUGAGGUCCCUGUGUUUCCACGCUGGACACGCUUCGGGGCUCGCCGCGAGCCGCAGCAACUGUUGUUGUUGGCGCCGAGGGAUCUGCUUGCUCUCUUUGCAAUCAGAGCAACCCGGCCGUCUGCUGGCUCAUAAGAGCCAGGAAAUGGAAGUGUCGAGAUGUGCGGGUUUUGCUGCUAGGAGAGACCAUUAUGCUCAUCAUGCCGCAGCCUCCCACGGAGCGCUGGCUGGUUCAUCUCCUUCUGCGUGCUGA
RNAcentral lists this long non-coding RNA (1220 nucleotides) under Anser brachyrhynchus (Pink-footed goose). Its description in RNAcentral is "lncRNA (ENSABRG00000000790.1)". The record is from RNAcentral. Lineage: Eukaryota; Metazoa; Chordata; Aves; Anseriformes; Anatidae.